RNAcentral lists this long non-coding RNA (443 nucleotides) under Homo sapiens (human). RNAcentral describes it as "DMTF1 antisense RNA 1, transcript variant 2 (DMTF1-AS1)". The record is from RNAcentral. Lineage: Eukaryota; Metazoa; Chordata; Mammalia; Primates; Hominidae.
UGGAGGAAGCAGCCACGGGCGAGAGUGGCUGCAGCUGGAGUGAGCGAGCGCGACGAGCCACCGGAAACGGAGCUGCGGCCGCGCCCCGCCCCCAGCUCCCCGCACGCUGCCCCUCCCGCUCGUCUGUCCCGCUGGCGGCCCAGCGUGCUGGCUGUACGCGUCACUUCCGGCUGUGUCGGCGCGCGAAAAAAGGAACCAAAGAGAAGUGAAGGAAUGUGUCCAAGGGCUCCCAAGUUGGCGGUGGAAUUAGAAUUGAAGCCUCAGCUCCAAAGCCUGUGUUCUGAACUACCCGGUUGCAGUUCACAAAAUACACUUUGGCAGUACUUUCAUAACGAAAACAAAUGAUUACAACCAGUUUACAAAUGCUUUGCUUUACUGGAGGAUCGACAUGUUUGACUAAUUUUCAAAAAUAAAUCUCAGAAGCAGCAAAAAAAAAAAAAAAA